Gallus gallus (chicken) is the source of this 1171-nucleotide long non-coding RNA. The record is from Ensembl. Lineage: Eukaryota; Metazoa; Chordata; Aves; Galliformes; Phasianidae.
ACAACUUGAUAUUGCAGUGUUAUUGACCUGGACCAGUAAUUAAUGUUGGGCACAAGAUAGUAGGUGUGCAAGGUGUGUUGGGUGAGGUAUUGUUUGCUCUUGGACAGCACCACUGUCCGUUUCUUCUGCGGAUGGAUCUAUUGUGCAGCAGAAGGGUCUAAAUGGAUAUGAGUGCUCAAUUAACAAAGAGAAGGGAGUUUAAAAGGUGGGGCAGGCUUAGGAAUGAGACACUGCAGAGCUUUAAUUGCUUCUCUGUAGUAAGUAAGUGGAGGGCAGCACUGCCCUCCAAUAGAUAGUUGCAUGGGGGCUUCUGUACAGUCAGCUGCUACAGAAGCUUCAUACAUCCCAAACAGCACAUUUUCUAACACCCUAUAAACAAUGGGGCUAUGAAGAACCACUUUUUCUACAGAGGAAUUUGAUGCAAUAGCAUCAUCAUUUUGUGGUGUCAUCUGCCCCAGGUAGUUAUUGCAUAAGGGGACAAAUCUGAACUGUAAUUUCAACGUAGUCAAAGGUUUGAAAAUGCCAUGGCUACUUACAUUUCCAAUAUGCCAUUUUCUCACUAAUGUCUUAGAUGGAAAAAGGCACUCACUAUUGAAAGAGCAGCUGUGAGGGUGUACUGAAUAAGUAAGAUGCAUUAGUAGUAAUUCUGCUGUGAUUCUUCCGGUGUCUCAGCUAUGCUCAUGCCUGCGUGUAUUAGGGAUGUUCUACUCACUUUGGUGCUAUCAUGAACCACACCAUAGGAGCAGCAAAACAGAGCUGGGGAUGAAUAGCUUUUUCUUCCUUCACCGUAUUUUUGGCACAUAUUAUUCUCAUUUGACUGAAGCUUGGGUGCAAGUAUCUUCUCAUUCUCCCUAAGCUGUACUGCAGCUCUUUCUGAGCUUUAACUGUCCAGCACUGUCCACUGCUGGAAAAGGCAUGUGCAAGGAAACCAGUAUCUGCACAACCCCAACAGACCUGCGACUGCACCCCUUUGGCCAGGACGGUAGCAUCCCCUAGACACAGCUCACAUCACAUAGGAAAAAUUCACAGUACUUAGUUUUACAAUCACGGUCACUCACAGCACCAAGAUUGUCCAGACAAAAAGGAAUUACUGAAGAGAAGGCCACUGGCCAAAAUUCACACAAGUGCCCACCUGAGGUCUCAGGUUAAAAAUAAAGCACUGGUGGGAAAG